UCGGCUCGUAAAACUCUGUUGUUAAAGAAGAACAUAUCUGAGAGUAACUGUUCAAGGAUUGACGGUAUUUAACCAGAAAGCCACGGCUAACUACGUGCCAGCAGCCGCGGUAAUACGUACGGGGCAAGCGUUGUCCGGAUUUAUUGGGCGUAAAGCGAGCGCAGGCGGUUUUUUAAGUCUGAUGUGAAAGCCUUCGGCUCAACCGAAGAAGUGCAUCGGAAACUGGGAAACUUGAGUGCAGAAGAGGACAGUGGAACUCCAUGUGUAGCGGUGAAAUGCGUAGAUAUAUGGAAGAACACCAGUGGCGAAGGCGGCUGUCUGGUCUGUAACUGACGCUGAGGCUCGAAAGCAUGGGUAGCAAACAGGAUUAGAUACCCUGGUAGUCCAUACCGUAAACGAUGAGUGCUAAGUGUUGGAGGGUUUCCGCCCUUCAGUGCUGCGGCUAACGCAUUAAGCAUUCCGCCUGGGGAUACGGACCGCAGGGCUGAAACUCAAG
Molecule: ribosomal RNA, 496 nt
Filed under: uncultured Lactobacillus sp.
Lineage: Bacteria; Bacillati; Bacillota; Bacilli; Lactobacillales; Lactobacillaceae
Description: bacterial SSU rRNA
Rfam family: Bacterial small subunit ribosomal RNA
Source: RNAcentral